RNAcentral lists this ribosomal RNA (468 nucleotides) under uncultured bacterium. RNAcentral's name for it is "partial 16S ribosomal RNA". It matches the Rfam family "Bacterial small subunit ribosomal RNA", at positions 28 to 507 of the family's 1533-position model. The record is from RNAcentral.
GACGAACGCUGGCGGCGUGCUUAACACAUGCAAGUCGAACGGAAAGGCCCUGCUUUUGUGGGGUGCUCGAGUGGCGAACGGGUGAGUAACACGUGAGUAACCUGCCCUUGACUUUGGGAUAACUUCAGGAAACUGGGGCUAAUACCGGAUAGGAGCUCCUGCUGCAUGGUGGGGGUUGGAAAGUUUCGGCGGUUGGGGAUGGACUCGCGGCUUAUCAGCUUGUUGGUGGGGUAGUGGCUUACCAAGGCUUUGACGGGUAGCCGGCCUGAGAGGGUGACCGGCCACAUUGGGACUGAGAUACGGCCCACACUCCUACGGGAGACAGCAGUGGGGAAUAUUGCACAAUGGGCGGAAGCCUGAUGCAGCAACGCCGCGUGCGGGAUGACGGCCUUCGGGUUGUAAACCGCUUUCGCCUGUGACGAAGCGUGAGUGACGGUAAUGGGUAAAGAAGCACCGGCUAACUACGUG